AAAAAAAAUAAGAUUAGUAACUCUAACUACUAGUAUGGUCUGAAAUCAAAAUUAUGAUUAAGUAUCAACAAACUCGACAACAGUGCCUAAAUAAAUAUAGAGUGAUAUACUACUGAACUGAAAUGACUAACUCCUCUGAAAUAAACAGACUAGAUGGUAAAUGCAACUCUGCAAUGGUAAAUCAAUCUUCUGAAAUCAAAAUUCUGAUUACUAUAUGUAUACACAAAAAUGGAUCUGAGAAAACACUAUAUAUAAGUAUAAUGUACACAGUGGCUAACAAUACCUCACAACUGAAAACCAAUGAGUAUGUAUAAUGAAAACAAAUAUGAAUAGUAUCAAUAUACACGUACGUACCUUUUUUAAAGUUCCUACCCAGCUAUGUCUCUGCAAAUCACACACACCUAAUACUCACCAAA
This 416-nucleotide long non-coding RNA is filed under the name Mytilus galloprovincialis (Mediterranean mussel). Lineage: Eukaryota; Metazoa; Mollusca; Bivalvia; Mytilida; Mytilidae. The record is from RNAcentral.